RNAcentral lists this long non-coding RNA (217 nucleotides) under Elaeis guineensis (African oil palm). Its description in RNAcentral is "long non-coding RNA (EGUI_LNC020119)". Lineage: Eukaryota; Viridiplantae; Streptophyta; Magnoliopsida; Arecales; Arecaceae. The record is from RNAcentral.
CCUAUGAACAUGAUUCAACCCCUAUAUAUAGGUCCGAUCCUAUCUCUAAAGUAUAACAACCUAGCUCAACUCAAUUCUCCUCCAAUGAGCACGAUUACUAAUAGGCUUGACUUGAAUGACUCCUUCGGAUAUCCAAAAAAAAUAGAAAAUAGAGAGAAUUAAAAGAGUAAAAGAGAGAGUCUUAAUCUUAUUAGAAGACAAAGAAACAGAGAACUGG